Lathyrus oleraceus (garden pea) is the source of this 945-nucleotide long non-coding RNA. RefSeq lists it as uncharacterized. The record is from RefSeq and is a predicted model, not a curated record. NCBI's taxonomy places the organism in Eukaryota, Viridiplantae, Streptophyta, Magnoliopsida, Fabales, Fabaceae. The transcript has 2 exons.
UAAAGCUAAAACACUUAAUUUUUUUCCGCUCCAUUCAUGUAAUCAACCGAACGUCCCCUUCACAGUUCAUGCCCUAGCUUUUCAACCUUCUCUACCUAUUCGGUUAUGGCUUUGAAAUUUGUUUGAACCAAAAUCAUCCGUACACUAGAAUUUUCUCCGUACAAAUUCUGAUUUCCACUUCCUAUCUUCAAUUCUGCAGACCGGUGAUUCUCGUAUUUCGCAGAUGAAAAUCAACCUUUGAAUUCCGUACAAAUGCAAAUCGGGACACGACGUCGUUUUGAGAUGUAUCACUUUUUAGGAAUUUGAAUUUUCAAAUGCACGGACAACGCAGAUCUCUUGGAAUUGCUCAAUUUUGAGGUUUUGAAGGUUUUGUUUAGGAACGGAUUCAAGACAGUAUAUGGGGACGUUUGAAGAGAACCAAAUUUGGAGAAAAAUGCAACAAAGGAAUUUUCAUUUCAGAUUUAGUAUUUUACAGUUGCAUUCUGACAAUACAAUUGAUGUGCCAAACAAAUGAGCCUCCUAUAUCUUUAAUUGUUAUUAAAAAAUAGUUUCAGAGGCUACAGUUUGGAAUAAAAUAUAAAUGACACGGGGAAUCUAUAUGAGGACUUCUAGAUGAGCCGCCAGAGGACUUAUAUGAGACACCACUCGAACAAAAGAUCGUCAUCUUCAAGGGUCUCUCGAUUGUGUCCACCAUGAAAGAUCAUCAUCUUCAAGGGUCUCGAUUGUGUCCACUGCCGGUUUCUGUGCUCUCGUCCUCUGUCCAUUAACUGUCAUUAUAAAUAUGGUUGCUCUUCAUCUGUAAUAUAGCAAAGAAUAGUUACACAAUUGCAACUAUAAUAGUCAAUUGUGACUGUGACUAUUUUUCACCAACAAAAAUACUUCAUUCUUAAAUGUGCACUCAGCGUUUGUUUGGUUAGCAAUAAAUUAUAAAUUAAUUAAGAGAAA